RNAcentral lists this ribosomal RNA (435 nucleotides) under uncultured bacterium. Its description in RNAcentral is "partial 16S ribosomal RNA". It matches the Rfam family "Bacterial small subunit ribosomal RNA", at positions 29 to 507 of the family's 1533-position model. The record is from RNAcentral.
AGCGAACGCUGGCGGCAGGCUUAACACAUGCAAGUCGAACGGGCUUCUUCGGAAGUCAGUGGCAGACGGGUGCGUAACACGUGGGAACGUGCCCUUCGGUUCGGACUAACUCAGGGAAACUUGAGCUAAUACCGGAUACGCCCUUUUGGGGAAAGGUUGACUGCCGCAGGAUCGGCCCGCGUCUGAUUAGCUUGUUGGUGGGGUAACGGCCUACCAAGGCGACGAUCAGUAGCUGGGCUGAGAGGAGGAUCAGCCACACUGGGGCUGAGACACGGCCCAGACUCCUACGGGAGGCAGCAGUGGGGAAUAUUGGACAAUGGGCGCAAGCCUGAUCCAGCCAUGCCGCGUGAGUGAUGAAGGCCUUAGGGUUGUAAAGCUCUUUUGUCCGGGACGAUAAUGACGGUACCGGAAGAAUAAGCCCCGGCUAACUUCGUG